AUGCAAGUCGAGGGGUAACGGAAGUAGCUUGCUACUAGACGACGACCGGCGCACGGGUGAGUAACGCGUAUGUAAUCUGCCUUGUACAGAGGGAUAGCCCAGAGAAAUUUGGAUUAAUACCUCAUAGUAUUACCGAAUCGCAUGAUUUGGUAAUUAAAGCUCCGGCGGUACAAGAUGAACAUGCGUGACAUUAGCUAGUUGGUAAGGUAACGGCUUACCAAGGCUACGAUGUCUAGGGGUUCUGAGAGGAUGAUCCCCCACACUGGUACUGAGACACGGACCAGACUCCUACGGGAGGCAGCAGUGAGGAAUAUUGGUCAAUGGACGCAAGUCUGAACCAGCCAUCCCGCGUGAAGGAUGACUGCCCUAUGGGUUGUAAACUUCUUUUAUAUGCAAAUAAACCUACUUUCGUGAAAGUAGCUGAAGGUAGCAUAUGAAUAAACACCGGCUAACUCCGUGCCAGCAGCCGCGGUAAUACGGAGGGUGUAAGCGUUAUCCGGAUUUAUUGGGUUUAAAGGGUACG
This 523-nucleotide ribosomal RNA is filed under the name uncultured bacterium. RNAcentral's name for it is "bacterial SSU rRNA". It matches the Rfam family "Bacterial small subunit ribosomal RNA", at positions 55 to 571 of the family's 1533-position model. The record is from RNAcentral.